GGCCCAUCUCUUGCUCAACAAAUAUCACCGGUAGCCAACGGCGGUUGCCCCACUUAAUCCCCGACAAAGACGUCGC
Molecule: non-coding RNA, 76 nt
Organism: Pseudomonas putida S11
Lineage: Bacteria; Pseudomonadati; Pseudomonadota; Gammaproteobacteria; Pseudomonadales; Pseudomonadaceae
Source: Rfam